This 310-nucleotide ribosomal RNA is filed under the name Strombidinopsis acuminata. Its description in RNAcentral is "partial Bacterial large subunit ribosomal RNA". It matches the Rfam family "Bacterial large subunit ribosomal RNA", at positions 216 to 527 of the family's 2925-position model. The record is from RNAcentral. Lineage: Eukaryota; Ciliophora; Spirotrichea; Choreotrichida; Strombidinopsidae.
GAGAAAACAAUAGUGAUUCCCCUAGUAGUGGCGAGCGAACGGGGAAUAGCCCAAACCAUUGAUGUUUCGGCAUUAAUGGGGUUGUAGGACCGCGAUCUAAAAUGCUCAACGAAGAAGAAUGUUCUGGAAAGUUCAACCAAAGAGGGUGAUAGUCCCGUAUUCGUAUGUUAGAGUUAUUUUUAGCGGUAUCCUGAGUAGCGCGGGACAUGUGAAAUCCUGUGUGAAUCUGUCAGAACCAUCUGAUAAGGCUAAAUACUCCUAAAAGAUCGAUAGUGCACUAGUACCGUGAGGGAAAGGUGAAAAGUACCCU